RNAcentral lists this transfer RNA (77 nucleotides) under Verrucomicrobiota bacterium. RNAcentral describes it as "Verrucomicrobia bacterium (drinking water metagenome) tRNA-Leu". Lineage: Bacteria; Pseudomonadati; Verrucomicrobiota. RNAcentral also lists the same sequence under 1 other name. The record is from RNAcentral.
GCCGCGUUAGUCCAACUACAAGAGACGCUCCGCUCAGACCGGAGAGGUUGGGGGUGGAAAUCCCUCACGCGGCACCA